Molecule: transfer RNA, 76 nt
Filed under: Bacilli bacterium
Lineage: Bacteria; Bacillati; Bacillota; Bacilli
Also listed under: 1 other name
Description: tRNA-Ala
Rfam family: tRNA
About the family: Transfer RNA (tRNA) molecules are approximately 80 nucleotides in length. Their secondary structure includes four short double-helical elements and three loops (D, anti-codon, and T loops). Further hydrogen bonds mediate the characteristic L-shaped molecular structure. tRNAs have two regions of fundamental functional importance: the anti-codon, which is responsible for specific mRNA codon recognition, and the 3' end, to which the tRNAs corresponding amino acid is attached (by aminoacyl-tRNA synthetases). tRNAs cope with the degeneracy of the genetic code in two manners: having more than one tRNA (with a specific anti-codon) for a particular amino acid; and 'wobble' base-pairing, i.e. permitting non-standard base-pairing at the 3rd anti-codon position.
Source: RNAcentral
GGGGCAUUAGCUCAGCUGGGAGAGCGUCACGCCUGCACCGUGAAGGUCAGCGGUUCGAUCCCGCUAUGCUCCACCA